RNAcentral lists this unclassified non-coding RNA (433 nucleotides) under soil metagenome. RNAcentral describes it as "partial contains 5.8S ribosomal RNA, internal transcribed spacer 2, and large subunit ribosomal RNA". The stretch from base 1 to 120 matches the Rfam family "5.8S ribosomal RNA", at positions 35 to 154 of the family's 154-position model. The record is from RNAcentral.
GAUGAAGAACGUAGUGAAAUGCGAUACGUAAUGUGAAUUGCAGAAUUCAGUGAAUCAUCGAAUCUUUGAACGCAUAUUGCGCUCUCUGGUAUUCCGGAGAGCAUGCUUGUUUGAGUAUCAGUAAACACCUCAACUUCCAUAUCUUUUUUGAAAUGGGAGUUGGACUUGAGUGAUCCCAACGCUUUUCCUCACCGAAAAGUGGCGGGUUACUUGAAAUGCAGGUGCAGCUGGACUUUUCUCUGAGCUAUAAGCAUAUCUAUUUAGUCUGCCUAAAGAACAGAUUAUUACCUUUGCUGCAGCUAACAUAAAGGAGAUUAGUUCUUGUGCUGACUGAUGCAGGAUUCACAAAGACAGGCUUCGGCCGACUUUGUAAACUCGAUCUCAAAUCAAGUAAGACUACCCGCUGAACUUAAGCAUAUCAAUAAGCGGAGGA